RNAcentral lists this ribosomal RNA (465 nucleotides) under uncultured bacterium. RNAcentral describes it as "partial 16S ribosomal RNA". It matches the Rfam family "Bacterial small subunit ribosomal RNA", at positions 28 to 507 of the family's 1533-position model. The record is from RNAcentral.
GACGAACGCUGGCGGCGUGCUUAACACAUGCAAGUCGAACGGAAAGGCCACUUUGGGGGUACUCGAGUGGCGAACGGGUGAGUAACACGUGAGUAACCUGCCCUUGACUUCGGGAUAACUUCAGGAAACUGGGGCUAAUACCGGAUAGGAAUCCUUGCUGCAUGGUGGGGGUUGGAAAGCUUCGGCGGUUCUGGAUGGACUCGCGGCUUAUCAGCUUGUUGGUGGGGUAGUGGCUUAACAAGGCUUUGACGGGUAGCCGGCCUGAGAGGGCGACCGGCCACAUUGGGACUGAGAUACGGCCCAGACUCCUACGGGAGGCAGCAGUGGGGAAUAUUGCACAAUGGGCGGAAGCCUGAUGCAGCAACGCCGCGUGCGGGAUGACGGCCUUCGGGUUGUAAGCCGCUUUCAGCAGGGGCGAAGCUUGUGGUGACGGUACCUGCAGAAGAAGCACCGGCUAACUACGUG